AAGUCGUAACAAGGUUUCCGUAGGUGAACCUGCGGAAGGAUCAUUAACACGAUACAAAUCGUAUCAACCAAAACGUGCUCUUGUUGUUAAUCUCUGGUUGUAAUUGUAGAGUUAAAAGCUUAGUGUGUUGAGGAUAAAAGCACUAAGUGAAGGAUUGAGUUUUGCAGCAAUGCAGGAUUCAGUUCAAGCUUUACAGUUAUUUCCUUAGGUUUAAAAACCCCAUUUUAUCCUCAUUUAUUAACCACAUUAACCCCCUUAACAUACAACUUUGUACUGACAAACAUUUUCUAGCUCGAAAGGGUAAGAAAAUUAAAAAACGCUGUACAACUCUUAGCAAUGGAUAUCUUGGUUCUC
This 354-nucleotide unclassified non-coding RNA is filed under the name fungal sp. RNAcentral's name for it is "partial internal transcribed spacer region". The stretch from base 1 to 46 matches the Rfam family "Eukaryotic small subunit ribosomal RNA", at positions 1786 to 1831 of the family's 1831-position model. Lineage: Eukaryota; Fungi. The record is from RNAcentral.